Non-coding RNA from Cronartium quercuum f. sp. fusiforme G11, 137 nucleotides. The record is from the annotation of a GenBank genome assembly. NCBI's taxonomy places the organism in Eukaryota, Fungi, Basidiomycota, Pucciniomycetes, Pucciniales, Coleosporiaceae.
GGCCCUUUGGCCAAGUGGUAAGGUGUUCUCCUCCGGUGCAUGUCUCCUCCAUCUCUCUCUUCCUAUAUAGGGAUUGAGGGUUGGGUUGGCAGAGCAGUGUAAGAGAAAGAUCGCUGGUUCAAUCCCAGCAUGGGUCG